GGCCCAUUAACUCAGCGGUUAGAGUGCUCCCCUGUCUAGGGAGAAGUCGUCGGUUCGAAUCCGACAUGGGUCGCCA
RNAcentral lists this transfer RNA (76 nucleotides) under Pseudomonas phage phiPA01_302. RNAcentral describes it as "tRNA-Asp". It matches the Rfam family "tRNA". Rfam says of the family: Transfer RNA (tRNA) molecules are approximately 80 nucleotides in length. Their secondary structure includes four short double-helical elements and three loops (D, anti-codon, and T loops). Lineage: Duplodnaviria; Heunggongvirae; Uroviricota; Caudoviricetes. The record is from RNAcentral.